This 695-nucleotide ribosomal RNA is filed under the name uncultured Enterococcus sp. RNAcentral's name for it is "bacterial SSU rRNA". It matches the Rfam family "Bacterial small subunit ribosomal RNA", at positions 803 to 1502 of the family's 1533-position model. The record is from RNAcentral. Lineage: Bacteria; Bacillati; Bacillota; Bacilli; Lactobacillales; Enterococcaceae.
UAAACGAUGAGUGCUAAGUGUGGAGGGUUUCCGCCUUCAGUGCUGCAGCAAACGCAUUAAGCACUCCGCUGGGGAGUACGACCGCAAGGUUGAAACUCAAAGGAAUUGACGGGGGCCCGCACAGCGGUGGAGCAUGUGGUUUAAUUCGAAGCAACGCGAAGAACCUUACCAGGUCUUGACAUCCUUUGACCACUCUAGAGAUAGAGCUUUCCCUUCGGGGACAAAGUGACAGGUGGUGCAUGGUUGUCGUCAGCUCGUGUCGUGAGAUGUUGGGUUAAGUCCCGCAACGAGCGCAACCCUUAUUGUUAGUUGCCAUCAUUUAGUUGGGCACUCUAGCGAGACUGCCGGUGACAAACCGGAGGAAGGUGGGGAUGACGUCAAAUCAUCAUGCCCCUUAUGACCUGGGCUACACACGUGCUACAAUGGGAAGUACAACGAGUCGCUAGGCCGCGAGGUCAUGCAAAUCUCUUAAAGCUUCUCUCAGUUCGGAUUGUAGGCUGCAACUCGCCUACAUGAAGCCGGAAUCGCUAGUAAUCGCGGAUCAGCACGCCGCGGUGAAUACGUUCCCGGGCCUUGUACACACCGCCCGUCACACCACGAAAGUUUGUAACACCCGAAGUCGGUGAGGUAACCUUUUGGAGCCAGCCGCCUAAGGUGGGAUAGAUGAUUGGGGUGAAGUCGUAACAAGGUAACCA